Gigantopelta aegis is the source of this 1502-nucleotide long non-coding RNA. RefSeq lists it as uncharacterized. The transcript has 2 exons. The record is from RefSeq and is a predicted model, not a curated record. Lineage: Eukaryota; Metazoa; Mollusca; Gastropoda; Neomphalida; Peltospiridae.
GGUGUAGUAGUCUUACACCUACCAAUUGAGUCGUUAAACCUCGUUCUGGGUGGGAGUCGUUAUUGGGCUGCAAACCCUGUACCCACCAGUUUUAUGUCCGAUGGCUUAACCACGACACCACCGAGGCGGGUUAUAUGCACAUCUUCAUUGUCUACUUGUUAUAUUGAUGCCAAAUUGGCGGUCGCCACACGACCAUGUAUUGUAAAUCAUUAUUGCUAGGAUUCACGUUUCAGAGGUAUGGGUAGUUUAAUACCAGGUACACGAUUCACGUUUCAGAGGUAUGGGUAGUUUAAUACCAGGUACACCAUUCACGUUUCAGAGGUAUGGGUAGUUUAAUACCAGGUACACGAUUCACGUUUCAGAGGUAUGGGUAGUUUAAUACCAGGUACACGAGUUAGGCCCUAUAGGCCUCAUGUGUUAUUGUGCAUAGUUUGUAUAAAGUUCUUUCUAAUCGUCAUGGAGUCGAUACCAGUGGCGUUCUUUGAAAUCGUCAUGUAGUCAACACCUGUGGCAUUGUUUGUAAUCGUCAUGGGGCCAACACCUAUGGCGUUGUUUGUAAUCGUCAUGGGGUCAACACCUGUGGCGUUGUUUGUAGUCGAUACCUGUGGCGUGUUCAAGUAGGCGAGCACUCUCGAACAGUUGGACUGGUUUUCAUCAUAUCUAUCAUAUUGUAUCAUACCGCUUUCAUUUAAGAAAGAUUUUAGAUUUGCGGGUUUUAGUCUAUUUGAUGUCCGUAAAUGUUUCAUUUUUCACCUCAGGCUAACGCCUUCGGUCACAAAUGACAUUUGCGGGAUGCUAAAAACUCUAUAUGGUUAUGUCCAUUGUAAACUAAAUCGUUUUUCUAAACAAACUGUGUACGAGAUAUUUCUUGAUCAAAAAUACUGGCUACACUUAAACUGUCAAUUUCGCCUGUUCCAAUUGCUAAUGACGUCACUUUCUAAUGACGUUAUUAGCUUCGGGUGUUAUUUUCAUUUCAUCCCCCAAAAAGAAUGUAAUUAACCAAUCACAAUACAGAACACACUCGCCAUCAGUUUACAAUGAAGAUUAGUUUUAGAAACCAGUCUGCCAAGGUAGUGCUAGCGCUCUGGCCUUCUGUUUAUAUACUUUGUUUUUGGUAUUAUUUAUAUCUAAAGCAAUACUAAUGAUUGAACAAAAAAAAUUCUUCUUUGUUAAACAUCUGCUGAUGUACUGUCGUAAAAAAUGCUGCAUCUCAAAAACAAUAUUUGAAAUAUACGUACAGGUAGGUUCCUUAUUAGAAAUAAAGGGUUUUCAAUCAUACUGUUUUAUACAUUACCAUUACAUUGUUAUGAUCCCAUCAUAAUAAUCCAAUAUAGACUAUACUGUAAUAUAUACGUUACUUUUAAUUUAAUGGUAAAACCAAGUAAACCUAUAGAUUACAUGCAAUUGUGUCAGCAAAAGAUUUGAUUUUACCAUUUACCAAUUUGAAUGUAUACUGUUCAUGUAGACAUUCGCCUAUUGUGAAUAAAACGUGCCUCAUAUAA